CUGAAGCUUCUUCGGCUGCAGGUUGGUGGACGUUCUGAUUCAGCUGUAUCGCCUCGAAAAUUUGGAUUCUGAAGAACUGGCCGGACAAAGGAUGCUCAAGGCCACCAACAAAAUGGAAAUGAAAGAGAUUGCUAAAUACAGGAAAAUGGACUCAACCAGCCAACCUUUAUUUGUUACUGGCAUAAAUGGCAGUCCUUUGAAAAAAUUCACCAUUCCCAAGAUCAGGAGGACAGCUGGGAAAGUUUACUUGUCACCCUGUUACACCGAUACUAG
RNAcentral lists this long non-coding RNA (273 nucleotides) under Moschus moschiferus (Siberian musk deer). Its description in RNAcentral is "lncRNA (ENSMMSG00000001173.1)". The record is from RNAcentral. Lineage: Eukaryota; Metazoa; Chordata; Mammalia; Artiodactyla; Moschidae.